This 326-nucleotide ribosomal RNA is filed under the name uncultured Pseudomonas sp. Its description in RNAcentral is "bacterial SSU rRNA". It matches the Rfam family "Bacterial small subunit ribosomal RNA", at positions 1058 to 1382 of the family's 1533-position model. Lineage: Bacteria; Pseudomonadati; Pseudomonadota; Gammaproteobacteria; Pseudomonadales; Pseudomonadaceae. The record is from RNAcentral.
GCUCCGUGUCGUGAGAUGUUGGGUUAAGUCCCGUAACGAGCGCAACCCUUGUCCUUAGUUACCAGCACGUUAUGGUGGGCACUCUAAGGAGACUGCCGGUGACAAACCGGAGGAAGGUGGGGAUGACGUCAAGUCAUCAUGGCCCUUACGGCCUGGGCUACACACGUGCUACAAUGGUCGGUACAAAGGGUUGCCAAGCCGCGAGGUGGAGCUAAUCCCAUAAAACCGAUCGUAGUCCGGAUCGCAGUCUGCAACUCGACUGCGUGAAGUCGGAAUCGCUAGUAAUCGUGAAUCAGAAUGUCACGGUGAAUACGUUCCCGGGCCUU